RNAcentral lists this ribosomal RNA (497 nucleotides) under uncultured bacterium. Its description in RNAcentral is "partial 16S ribosomal RNA". It matches the Rfam family "Bacterial small subunit ribosomal RNA", at positions 28 to 507 of the family's 1533-position model. The record is from RNAcentral.
GAUGAACGCUGGCGGCGUGCCUAAUACAUGCAAGUCGAGCGAACGGACGAGAAGCUUGCUUCUCUGAUGUUAGCGGCGGACGGGUGAGUAACACGUGUAUAGCCUACCUAUAAGACUGGUAUAACUUCGGGAAACCGGAGCUAAUACCGGAUAAUAUUUUGAACCGCAUGGGGCAAAAGUGAAAGACGGUCUUGCUGGCACUUAUAGAUGGAUCCGCGCUGCAUUAGCUAGUUGGUAAGGUAACGGCUUAUCAAGGCAACGAUGCAUAGCCGAGCUGAGAGGGUGAUCGGCCACCCUGGAACUGAGACACGGUCCAGACUCCUGCGGGAGGCAGCAGUAGGGAAUCUUCCGCAAUGGGCGAAAGCCUGACGGAGCAACGCCGCGUGAGUGAUGAAGGUCUUCGGAUCGUAAAACUCUGUUAUUAGGGAAGAACAUAUGUGUAAGUAACUGUGCACAUCUUGACGGUACCUAAUCAGAAAGCAACGGCUAACUACGUG